GAGUUUGAUUCUGGCUCAGGAUGAACGCUGGCGGCGUGCCUAAUACAUGCAAGUCGAGCGAGAAUCUGAACGACGGAGACUUCGGUCAAAGGAAUUCAGAGGAAAGCGGCGGACGGGUGAGUAACGCGUGGGCAACCUGCCCCAUACAGAGGGAUAGCAGUUGGAAACGACUAUUAAUACCUCAUACUCCGGUUUUAUCGCAUGAUAGAACCGGGAAAGAUUUAUCGGUAUGGGAUGGGCCCGCGUCUGAUUAGCUAGUUGGUGAGGUAACGGCUCACCAAGGCGACGAUCAGUAGCCAACCUUAGAGGGUGAUUGGCCACACUGGAACUGAGACACGGUCCAGACUCCUACGGGAGGCAGCAGUAGGGAAUAUUGGGCAAUGGGGGCAACCCUGGCCCAGCAACGCCGCGUGAACGAUGAAAAUCUUCGGAUUGUAAAGUUCUUUUCUUGAGGAAGAAGAAAAGGACG
Molecule: ribosomal RNA, 469 nt
Filed under: Peptostreptococcaceae bacterium canine oral taxon 065
Lineage: Bacteria; Bacillati; Bacillota; Clostridia; Peptostreptococcales; Peptostreptococcaceae
Description: bacterial SSU rRNA
Rfam family: Bacterial small subunit ribosomal RNA
Source: RNAcentral